UCUCUGGUGGUCCAGUGGUUAAGUACCUGCAUUUCCACUGCAGGAAGCACAGGUUUGAUCCCUGGUCAGGGAA
This 73-nucleotide transfer RNA is filed under the name Bos taurus (domestic cattle). It matches the Rfam family "tRNA". Rfam says of the family: Transfer RNA (tRNA) molecules are approximately 80 nucleotides in length. Their secondary structure includes four short double-helical elements and three loops (D, anti-codon, and T loops). Lineage: Eukaryota; Metazoa; Chordata; Mammalia; Artiodactyla; Bovidae. RNAcentral also lists the same sequence under 2 other names. The record is from Rfam by way of RNAcentral.